RNAcentral lists this transfer RNA (86 nucleotides) under Thermoplasmata archaeon. RNAcentral's name for it is "tRNA-Tyr". It matches the Rfam family "tRNA". Rfam says of the family: Transfer RNA (tRNA) molecules are approximately 80 nucleotides in length. Their secondary structure includes four short double-helical elements and three loops (D, anti-codon, and T loops). RNAcentral also lists the same sequence under 1 other name. The record is from RNAcentral. Lineage: Archaea; Methanobacteriati; Thermoplasmatota; Thermoplasmata.
CCCCGCUUAGCUCAGACUGGCCAGAGCGGCUGACUGUAGCCGCGGUAAUCAGCAGGCCCCCGGUUCAAAUCCGGGAGCGGGGACCA